This is a long non-coding RNA of Pogoniulus pusillus (Red-fronted tinkerbird), 902 nucleotides long. RefSeq lists it as uncharacterized. NCBI's taxonomy places the organism in Eukaryota, Metazoa, Chordata, Aves, Piciformes, Lybiidae. The transcript is spliced from 2 exons. The record is from RefSeq and is a predicted model, not a curated record.
UAAGGACCCUCUCCGCGCCCUUCACGGCGCUGGCUGCUGUCCCGCCGCAGCUGGGCGGCUCCGCCCGGCUGUGCGGUGCGCUCGUAACGCUCCAGAGCACGAGUGUUAAUAGAAAACCCGAGUUCCAGAAGAGAAGAGAGGGGAUGCUGCCCGGGUGAAGAAGCACGCACCGAAUUUACAGCUCUGAGCGCGUUGUGGGGGUGUGUGUGUGUUUAUUGGCACAGGCAAAGGCAGGCAGCAAACAGCCUGGGUUCCUGCUGGACUUCUGCUCUCCUCACGGAGAAGAGAUUUAAUCCACAAACACGAGCAGAGUGCGGGAGAAACUUACAGUCAUGUGAAAUAUAUUUGCAGCCUGAGGGGCUAGGCCAGGACACAGCACACUUGUUACACUCGCGGCGCUCAUGGUCCUCCUAGAGCUACAAUGUGGGCCAGGAGGGCUGGGAGCUUUGGGGCAGCUCACCCAUCAGCCUGCACUUGCCAUGUGCUACAAAGGGAUCCCCACUGGAAGCAGCUAGCCUGUCCCCCUGGGAUCCGCAAUCACACAGCGCAUCUGGACCAAGGCAGAGCAUGUGGUCUAUGAACGUGUUCUGGAUUCUCAAGGGAAGGGGCAAUCUUUUCUUCAUGUUCUCUCUCCUGAAGGCCAGCAGGAUUUCCUGGAACAAGAAUCAUGCAAGAGAACCUAAAAAUCUCCAGUGCUUUGGGUGUCUUUCGUAGGAUUUGGAAUAUUUAAACCUCCAAUUAGAGCUGCCAAAAUAAAAAGCAUUAUUGGAUACAAGGACUUAUAACAAGAUUCAACGUGCUGUGGGAAAUGCUUUAAAGGUGACCUGCAAAUCCUCUUUAAUUGCUUUGCUGUUGCAAGCAAUGCUGUGUGCCCUCAAUAACAGGGCUGGUGAGGACAUCUG